RNAcentral lists this long non-coding RNA (3064 nucleotides) under Marmota monax (woodchuck). The record is from RNAcentral. Lineage: Eukaryota; Metazoa; Chordata; Mammalia; Rodentia; Sciuridae.
UACAACUAAAAAAAAUAUUUAAAAAAAAGAUUUUUGAGCGAAUUUCACUAAAUUGCCCAAGCCAACCUCAAACUUGUGCUCUCCUGCUUCAGUCUGCCAAGUUGCUGGGAUUACAGGUAUUUGCUACCAGGUGACUCAACUCUUUAUUGGUACUGGGAGUUGUACCUGGGGCCCUCAAUCACUGAGCCACAUCCCUGCCCUUUUUUAUUUUUUGAGACAGGAUCUUGCGAAGUUGCAUAGUCCUCACUGAGUUGCUAAGGCUGGCCUUGAACUUGUGAUCCUCCUGCCUCAGCCUCCCAAACUGCUGGGAUUACAGGUGUACCCAGAAAUUCUGUACCUAUUUUGCCUGUUUUAUAGGAUGAAGCACAUGAGUAAGUAUGGAUGUUGUUGAGAACCAGAGACCUCAGCUGGAGAGAAGGGAGACACAAAAAUUUCUUGUGAUUGAAUUGGAAAAAAUAUCAGUACAAAACCCGUGGAUAGACAGAUACCUAGGACUCAGAUCUUGCUUUCUAAAUACCAUUAUCCCCUAAGAGCACCUGCAGCUCUUUGAAGAAAGGCUGAUUCUAGCCAGGACAAGAGCAAGGAAGGAAUGAGAUGAAUUUGGAAUAUUUUGUUGUCAGAAACAAAGUACGUAGGCUGGGGGGUUAGCUUCGUGGUAGAGCACUUACUGUGCACAUCUGUGAGGUCCUGGGUUUAAUCCCAGCACUAGAAAGAAAGAGAGAGGGAAAGGGAGGGAAAAACUUAAAUUAUAUGACAAAGAAACACAAGGGCUAACUUGAAAAAGUAUCCCACCAGUCAAAUCUGGGACAAUUUAAGCUGCAAAAUAAAUAAGAACAGAAAUAGGUGAUACCAGUAACUGUAUAAAACCAUAUCAUCUGAUGCUGGAGGCAAAGAGUAUUAGCACCCAGGUAAAGCUCUGAUUGAGGGAUUCUACCUCAAGGAUGGGAAAGACAAUGGAGAAACAGAGGGGAGAGAGAGAGAUCGGCUGCUCCCCAAACAUGGAGAAGAAAGCCUUUUAUCAGCCUGUUAUUGGAGUGGCCUGGGGUCUGGUUGCGCAUUACCUCAUUCUGGUUUUGCCAGAUGUCUCUGGAGAAAUCCUUAUCACUGAGGGGUAACCUCCAUUUGUUUUGCAGAGUGUUUAUCAGUGGGUCCUGACAAAAAAGGGGACAGGCAACUUGGUUCCCAUGAGGUGAUGGUUUCCACCUUGGGGAGCAGUCACCACCAUCUGCCUGCAAGGCUGCACUGUUGCUCAAAGUGUGGGGCAUGACCGGAGGAUUCUAGGUGCCAUUCCAGAGUCUGGGAAAUUGUAAAAGCUGGCAGUUGGGUAUCCUGCAAAUCCUGAAAAUCCAUUAAUCACUCUUUUUUGUUGUUGUUCCGGGGAUUGAACCCAGGGGUUUUACCACUGAGCCCCAUCCCCAGCCCUUUUUAUUUUUUAUUUUGAGACAGGGCCUCCCUAAGUUAGUAAGGCUGGCAUCAACCUUGUGAUCCUCCUACUUCAGCCUCCCAAGUCGCUGGGAUUCCAGGGGUGCAGUAUCAUGCACAGCUGCAGUAGUUUCCCUAUCUCUGAUUCUUCAGCCUUGAAUCGGGUGGUUGUCAGCUUUACAUGAACUUCCCUCAAAUGACUAAUAUGCCCGUGUGCACAGCAGAGUAGGUAUCAAACACAAAGCUUAGAAUAAUAAAGAAGCCGAGUGCGGUGGUACACGUCUGUAAUCCCAGUGACUCAGGAGGCUGAGGCAGGAGGAUUGCAAGUCCAAAGCCAGCCUCAGCAACUUAUUGAGGCCCCAAGCAAUUUGGUGAGACCCUGUCUCAAAAUAAAAUAUAAAGAAGGGCUGGGGAUGUGGCUCAGUGGUUAAGUUUGAUCCCUGAUACUAAAUAAAUAAAGUAAUAAAGGGGACAGACGGAUAAGAAUAAGGCAGAGAUGCCAAGCUUUUAUCCUACUUUCAGUAACCCAUCAAGCAUCUAUAAAAUAAGAGAAGAGUGAGCUUCUUAGCGAAAGAAACCUCUGUAAGUCCUUGUUAUAGUCUAGUUUUUGUGGUACUUUUUUAAAAACACAUUUUUAUGUCUUUAUUUAUUUUUAUGUGGCACUGAGGAUUGAACCUAGUGCUUCACGCGUCCUAGGCAAGCACUCCACCAGUGAGCCACAACCCCAGCCCUGUGGUGCUUUCAAUUAGUAGAUCAUGAGUUUAGGACUUGGGAGGGCAUCUGCCCUUUGACCCUGUAGUAGUCUCUAAUCAUCUCACGUUUCUGUUGUUAACAGGUGUUAACAUCCACGAGGAAUACAUAAAAAGAAAACCAAGCCUAGGGUCAUAGCUCAGUGGUGGAGUACUUGCUUUGGAUUUAUGAGGCACUGGGUUCAAUCCUCAACACCACAUUAAAAUAAAGGUAUUUGCAGGGCAUGAUGAAGCAUGCCUUUAAUCCCAGGGGCUUGGGAGGCUGAGGCAGGAGGAUCACAAGUUCAAAGCCAGCCUCAACAAAAGCAAGGCACUAAGCAACUCAGUGAGACCCUGUCUCUAAAUAAAAUACAAAAAUAGGGCUGGGGAAGUGGUUCAGUGGUUGAUUGCCCCUGAGUUUAAUCCCCUGUACCCCCCCACAAAAAUAUAUAUGUUCAUCUAUAACUAAGAAUACUUAACAAAACAAAACAUUAUUCUAGUGAAUCUACCAAUCAGAUAAUGGAGAUAAGUCAGCCAGCCUGAAGAUCCUGAGAACUGUUGGACCACCAUCUUCUCUUUUGGUCCCAGACUGAUGUCAUCCCCACAUACCUUCCCAUGCCUGCCCUCACCAAAUUUCCUUUAGUAGCUGGGCUUGGUGGCACACCAGGCAACUCCAGAGGCUGAGGCAGGAGGAUUGCAAGUUCAAAGCCAGCCCCAGUUUAGCAGGUCCUAAGCAACUUAGUGAAACAUUUCAAAAUAAAAGAGUGGCUCAGUGGUAGAGCACCCCUGGGUUCAAUCCCCAAUAAUAAAUAAAAAUUAAUCAUGCAGGAGCUCACUGGUCUUUAGAAUUCUUCCCUUUUCUUUUUUCUUAUGCUGCAGUUGUGGAAUUAGCUAUAGUAGAUUCUCAGUUCUCU